Molecule: long non-coding RNA, 195 nt
Organism: Acomys russatus (golden spiny mouse)
Lineage: Eukaryota; Metazoa; Chordata; Mammalia; Rodentia; Muridae
Exons: 4
Source: RefSeq, a predicted model, not a curated record
UGUAUGUGUGCAGGUGUGCAGUCAGAGGGCAGGGCAGGUGUGUAUGUGUGCAGGUGUGCAGUCAGAGGGCAGGGCAGGUGUGUAUGUGUGCAGGUGUGCAGUCAGAGGGCAGGGCAGGUGUGUAUGUGUGCAGGUGUGCAGUCAGAGGGCAGGGCAGGUGUGUAUGUGUGCAGGUGUGCAGUCAGAGGGCAGGGC